Long non-coding RNA from Syzygium oleosum, 1784 nucleotides. RefSeq lists it as uncharacterized. Lineage: Eukaryota; Viridiplantae; Streptophyta; Magnoliopsida; Myrtales; Myrtaceae. The transcript is spliced from 5 exons. The record is from RefSeq and is a predicted model, not a curated record.
AACUUCGUCCGCCCCUAGUUUUGCAGUUUUCAUUUCCAACGACAACAGAAAGUGGUCAAAUGCAUCCAGCUUACCCUGCUUUUGAAUUUUGUGGAGUCUUGAAAAGUAAUUUUCUAAAGAUGUAGAAGGCAACAAAAUGUUAUUUUCAUUGUUUGUAAGUGGAAGAGGGAGGAAAUUGAAAUUUCAGGAAAGGCUCUUGAUGUUGAAUCUUAAAUAGGACAAGAAACAGACAAGAUACUCUGUUAAUAGCACCAGACAUGUUCUAAAAGUGAAAAUUAAAUAGAAGAAAUCAAUAUAUGUAUUCUUUUAAAUAUUUAUAGUGAAAUUAAGAACCAAAACCUGUCUUAACCAAAUGCACCUUGAGAUGCUCCAAUCUCAUCCAUGUACUUGUAUUGUUUUGGAGAUGUAGAAUCUGCCUUCAUCCGCUGCAACAUCAAAGUCACAAGUUCCUUGGAGAUGAGUGGGUAUCAUCCUGAAAUGGUUCGAAGUAUCAGAGGCUUGUUGGAGGACCAAGAAUAGCCGGGAGCAUCAAGAAGGAAUGAUAUGCUCCAGCAAUUGAAAGCAAUCAUUACAAUUGGAAGAGCUUUACACAUUGUUCAGGGUUCUUCCAUGAUGCUCAUUGUCUCAUGCAUCAAUGGACUAGUGGUGGUCCUCCUUACUGUAUGCCAGCGAAGCUAGAUAAACCCAUAUUUAUCACCAAAUUUUCUGCACGUGCUGCAAAUUUUUGCUCUAUGUGAGGUACUUUAGAUCGGUAGUAAAGAGUAGCGUAAAUUCAUCACAUGGAACAACUUUUCAAUGCAAGAAUUCUGCCUCUGCCUCUGGUUCUCCCAUUUUUCUUUUCUUUCUUUUGUUCUCUUUGAAUGGAGCAAGAGUUCCAUCGGCAAGACAGUAUCUCAAACGAGAGUUAAUUUUUACACACAGAUUCGACUGCAAUUGGGGGCGUAAUAUUUUUACACUACACUUGCUCACUGAAAUGUGCUGUGAACGGGGGCUUUCACGGUCAGCGAAUGCGCUUAUCAUUUCCUUACAUGGCUGCAUGAUCUUGAUUAUAAUAACUAGGAAUCUACUCAGAGACUGCAACUUUUGUACAAAUGGGUCAGAGACAGAUUCCAACUGUGAGCAGUUGCUUUAUAAGGAGGAGAAAAUUGACAAACUUCAUAAUCUUAGUAGUUCAUUGGCCGCGCUGUGCUUCCAAUAUUGCACAGAUACUUUAAUUAAAAGCUGCAUCUUGAUAGGCAGCCACUUUCCCAGAUAAAAACGGAAGUUUAUAUUAUGUUCCUUUCAGGACCACUGGGUCAAAUAUUAGCACCGAAAAAUGAAAGGCCAUGUCCAUGUUCCUGAGUCACCUCAAAAAGUUAGUGACCAACUCACCUUUCAAGCCAUGGUUUCAGAAAUUGUUUUGGAGAUGUUGAAUGUGCCUUCAUCCUCUGCAACAUCAAAGUCACAAGUUCCUUGGACAUGAGUGUAUAUCAUCCCGGGACGGUUCGAAGUUUCAGAGGUUUGUCCGAGGACCAAGUAUAGCCGGGAGCAUCGAGAAGGAAUGAUAUGCUCCAGCAAUUGAAAGCAUCGCCAAUUUCAUUGACGAUUGCAUUGCAAUUGGAAGAGCUUUGACACAGUGUUCAGGGGGCUUCCGUGAUGCUCAUUGUUUAAUGCAUCAACAGAUUGGCAGCGAUUCUCUUUACUGUAUGCUAGCAAGCUAGAUGAUACUCAAUUUAUCACCUAAUUUUUCCACACUUUUUGCAAAUCUUUUAUAAACGUGAGGUACUUUGGACCGGUACUGGAGA